Molecule: ribosomal RNA, 439 nt
Filed under: uncultured bacterium
Lineage: Bacteria
Description: partial 16S ribosomal RNA
Rfam family: Bacterial small subunit ribosomal RNA
Source: RNAcentral
CCUACGGGUGGCAGCAGUAGGGAAUAUUGCUCAAUGGGGGAAACCCUGAAGCAGCAACGCCGCGUGGAGGAUGAAGGUUUUCGGAUUGUAAACUCCUUUUGUUAGAGAAGAUAAUGACGGUAUCUAACUAAUAAGCACCGGCUGACUCCGUGCCAGCAGCCGCGGUAAUACGUGGGGUGCAAGCGUUACUCGGAAUCACUGUGCGUAAAGAGCGCGUAGGCGGAUAGCAAGUAAGAGGUGAAAUCCUAUGGCUUAACCAUAGAACUGCAUUUGAAACUGGUAUACUAGAGUAUGGGAGAGGUAGGUGGAAUUCUAGGUGUAGGGGUAAAAUCCGUAGAGAUCAAGAGGAAUACUCAAGGCGAAGGCGACCUGCUAGAACAUAACUGACGCUGAUGCGCGAAAGCGUGGGGAGCAAACAGGAUUAGAUACCCCUGUAGUC